UACGAAGGGGGCUAGCGUUGUUCGGAAUCACUGGGCGUAAAGCGCACGUAGGCGGACUUUCAAGUCAGGGGUGAAAUCCCGGAGCUCAACUUCGGAAUUGCCUUUGAUACUGUUGGUCUCGAGUCCGGAAGAGGUGGGUGGAAUUCCUAGUGUAGAGGUGAAAUUCGUAGAUAUUCGGAAGAACACCAGUGGCGAAGGCGACUCACUGGACAUGUAUUGACGCUGAGGUGCGAAAGCGUGGGGAGCAAACAGG
RNAcentral lists this ribosomal RNA (253 nucleotides) under uncultured bacterium. RNAcentral describes it as "partial 16S ribosomal RNA". It matches the Rfam family "Bacterial small subunit ribosomal RNA", at positions 524 to 776 of the family's 1533-position model. The record is from RNAcentral.